Molecule: non-coding RNA, 32 nt
Filed under: Syntrophotalea carbinolica DSM 2380
Lineage: Bacteria; Pseudomonadati; Thermodesulfobacteriota; Desulfuromonadia; Desulfuromonadales; Syntrophotaleaceae
Source: RNAcentral
CCGCCGGCCAAAAGGCGUUUGCCCUCAUGUAU